Sphaerodactylus townsendi is the source of this 232-nucleotide long non-coding RNA. RefSeq lists it as uncharacterized. The record is from RefSeq and is a predicted model, not a curated record. The transcript has 3 exons. NCBI's taxonomy places the organism in Eukaryota, Metazoa, Chordata, Lepidosauria, Squamata, Sphaerodactylidae.
CAAGUACAUAAUUGUUUUGUCGGGGGAUGAGUUCUUCCCACCGGACAACUCACGAUUUUAUUUUUCUCAACUGGAAGGCCCGAAACGUAUCCUAAUCAUGCCAAACACUGAUUAUUUGAAUUUACGGAAAAACAAACUCCUGCAGAGAAUUACCUCUUUUUACUUCACGGUGGUUGAAAAGAAAUAUACACCUUACAAGAUCUCCUGGGAGAUGAACAUGACAAAUACCAGC